AGACCCGAAACCCGGUGAUCUAGCCAUGGGCAGGUUGAAGGUUGGGUAACACUAACUGGAGGACCGAACCGACUAAUGUUGAAAAAUUAGCGGAUGACCUGUGGCUGGGGGUGAAAGGCCAAUCAAACCGGGAGAUAGCUGGUUCUCCCCGAAAGCUAUUUAGGUAGCGCCUCGUGAACUCAUCUCCGGGGGUAGAGCACUGUUUCGGCUAGGGGGCCAUCCCGGCUUACCAACCCGAUGCAAACUGCGAAUACCGGAGAAUGUUAUCACGGGAGACACACGGCGGGUGCUAACGUCCGUCGUGAAGAGGGAAACAACCCAGACCGCCAGCUAAGGUCCCAAAGUCAUGGUUAAGUGGGAAACGAUGUGGGAAGGCCCAGACAGCCAGGAUGUUGGCUUAGAAGCAGCCAUCAUUUAAAGAAAGCGUAAUAGCUCACUGGUCGAGUCGGCCUGCGCGGAAGAUGUAACGGGGCUAAACCAUGCACCGAAGCUGCGGCAGCGAACGUAUCACUUAAAACGAUUCAGAAGCUUACGAUUGACGGAGCGAAGCGACGUCAAAGCGUAUACAAAGUCGAGUCGGUUUAAGGAUACGUUCGUUGGGUAGGGGAGCGUUCUGUAAGCCUGCGAAGGUGGCCUGUGAGGGUUGCUGGAGGUAUCAGAAGUGCGAAUGCUGACAUAAGUAACGAUAAAGCGGGUGAAAAGCCCGCUCGCCGGAAGACCAAGGGUUCCUGUCCAACGUUAAUCGGGGCAGGGUGAGUCGACCCCUAAGGCGAGGCCGAAAGGCGUAGUCGAUGGGAAACGGGUUAAUAUUCCCGUACUUGGUGUUACUGCGAAGGGGGGACGGAGAAGGCUAUGUUGGCCGGGCGACGGUUGUCCCGGUUUAAGCGUGUAGGCUGACUUUCCAGGCAAAUCCGG
Molecule: ribosomal RNA, 915 nt
Filed under: Salmonella enterica subsp. salamae
Lineage: Bacteria; Pseudomonadati; Pseudomonadota; Gammaproteobacteria; Enterobacterales; Enterobacteriaceae
Description: partial 23S ribosomal RNA
Rfam family: Bacterial large subunit ribosomal RNA
Source: RNAcentral